UAUAAUCUGAAAUUUACUUAUUUGGCAAUCAUUUUCUCCUUUUUCUCUCUAUUUUCUUCAACUUCUCGUCAUUUUUAACAGGAGUCCUCUCCUCUCUCUCCCCCCCUCUCAUCUCAUUUCUCUCUUCUUAUCCUUCUCAUUCUUCUCUAAACUUACCUUUAAAUCCCAACUUCAUAUGUGUUCGCCAUUUCCGAAAAUGGUCAUAGCUAUUUCAUUGUCAACCAACACAUCCCAAGUACUGCUCAUGAAAUCAUCGUCCCAUAUGCUAAUAAUCCUCAGAAAUCAACGAUGAUUAUCUUCGCUCUCGUUUGAAGAGCGCCCGCCGCCACCGGGGCAAUAAUAGGAGGAAGAUGAAGAUUAUGAGGGGUCGGGGUUGAUGAAUUUUCAUCGGGGGAGCAAAAUUUAUGGUAUUCAAUCGGAUUUCGUCGAUGUAGUUAGUGGUGGCAUCAAAUGGGCUCUCGAUUUUGUGUUCCACUUACUGGCUGACAAUGGUUGAGUGGGCUCCACAUUAUCCUUCAUUAUCUUUGGUUCCACCGCCGUUUCCGGUGGUGGUUCGUCGGCGUUGGUGGAUGGUGGCAGAGGCUUGUGGGUAAGAUAAUCGAUUCUCAAUUUCCUUAGCUGCUUCUUGACGAGGAGCAAUCUUCUUCUUCACAGUGAAUACUGUCAAAUUUGAGGUGAAUUUGAAGGCUUUGUUUUGUGCACAUGUGGAGAGAGAA
Molecule: long non-coding RNA, 716 nt
Filed under: Erythranthe guttata (spotted monkey flower)
Lineage: Eukaryota; Viridiplantae; Streptophyta; Magnoliopsida; Lamiales; Phrymaceae
Description: long non-coding RNA (EGUT_LNC003127)
Source: RNAcentral